RNAcentral lists this ribosomal RNA (985 nucleotides) under Enterococcus hirae. Its description in RNAcentral is "bacterial SSU rRNA". It matches the Rfam family "Bacterial small subunit ribosomal RNA", at positions 83 to 1053 of the family's 1533-position model. The record is from RNAcentral. Lineage: Bacteria; Bacillati; Bacillota; Bacilli; Lactobacillales; Enterococcaceae.
CCGGAANGAGGAGUGGCGAACGGGUGAGUAACACGUGGGUAACCUGCCCAUCAGAAGGGGAUAACACUUGGAAACAGGUGCUAAUACCGUAUAACAAUCGAAACCGCAUGGUUUUGAUUUGAAAGGCGCUUUCGGGUGUCGCUGAUGGAUGGACCCGCGGUGCAUUAGCUAGUUGGUGAGGUAACGGCUCACCAAGGCGACGAUGCAUAGCCGACCUGAGAGGGUGAUCGGCCACAUUGGGACUGAGACACGGCCCAAACUCCUACGGGAGGCAGCAGUAGGGAAUCUUCGGCAAUGGACGAAAGUCUGACCGAGCAACGCCGCGUGAGUGAAGAAGGUUUUCGGAUCGUAAAACUCUGUUGUUAGAGAAGAACAAGGAUGAGAGUAACUGUUCAUCCCUUGACGGUAUCUAACCAGAAAGCCACGGCUAACUACGUGCCAGCAGCCGCGGUAAUACGUAGGUGGCAAGCGUUGUCCGGAUUUAUUGGGCGUAAAGCGAGCGCAGGCGGUUUCUUAAGUCUGAUGUGAAAGCCCCCGGCUCAACCGGGGAGGGUCAUUGGAAACUGGGAGACUUGAGUGCAGAAGAGGAGAGUGGAAUUCCAUGUGUAGCGGUGAAAUGCGUAGAUAUAUGGAGGAACACCAGUGGCGAAGGCGGCUCUCUGGUCUGUAACUGACGCUGAGGCUCGAAAGCGUGGGGAGCAANCAGGAUUAGAUACCCUGGUAGUCCACGCCGUAANCGAUGAGUGCUAAGUGUUGGAGGGUUUCCGCCCUUCAGUGCUGCAGCUAACGCAUUAAGCACUCCGCCUGGGGAGUACGACCGCAAGGUUGAAACUCAANGGAAUUGACGGGGGCCCGCACAAGCGGUGGAGCAUGUGGUUUAAUUCGAAGCAACGCGAAGAACCUUACCAGGUCUUGACAUCCUUUGACCACUCUAGAGAUAGAGCUUCCCCUUCGGGGGCAAAGUGACAGGUGGUGCAUGGUUGUC